RNAcentral lists this long non-coding RNA (842 nucleotides) under Mustela putorius furo (domestic ferret). RNAcentral's name for it is "lncRNA (ENSMPUG00000025971.1)". The record is from RNAcentral. Lineage: Eukaryota; Metazoa; Chordata; Mammalia; Carnivora; Mustelidae.
GUGGGGGCAGGGAGUAGGCAGCUCAGUGGGAGGAAAUGAGGCUGGACAACAGCCAGCUCCCAAGGGAAGCGCUUCUUGCCACAUCUGGCCAGCAUGUGUCUGGGCAAUAGAUGAUGAAGGCAACAAAGAGGCAGCCUUGCUCCUUGCGCUGGGCAGGUAGUCUUUCCAAGCACACAUACGUACACCUCCCCACCAACAAUGCAAUCUGCUGUUGCUACAAAGGAGCUAGAGAAAAGUUCUUUUGUGACUCUGGGCAAGGCCAGCCGUGAGUGGAGCUGGGCUUAACGGUGUGGGAGAAGCUGUCCCAGAGAUUAAGGAGCUUGAGAAGGGAAGAUGGAAUCACAGCUGAAAACCUCAAAAUAAGGUUGUCCUGCAUCAUCCAGGUGGGCCCAACACAAUCAAAAGGAUCCUUAAAUGUGGAAGAGGGAAGCAAGAGCCGUCAGAGAAAGACUUGGAGAGAGAAGGGACCACCAGCCAAGGAAUGCCAGCAGUCUCCAGAAGCUGGAAAGGAAAAAGCAAGGAAACAGAUUCUCCCUGAGAGCCUGCAGGUAGGAAGCCAACACCUUGACUCGAGCCCCCUGUGUCCCAGUUUGGACUCUGACCUCCAGAACUGUAAGACAGGACGUUUGUUAUCUACAUAACAAAUUUGUUAUAAUAAUGUGUUGUUUUAAGCCACCGACUUUGGGGUUACAACAGCAAAGCACCCUUGGCUUAACCAUCAUUGCUCAUCAAGACUAAGGCUAGAAUUUGCUCCUCUAGGUAACCCCAGUCCUGGCUGAGUCAGGUGGCAUCUGAAAAUCAGAAGAAGGCAGUUGGGCUCAGGGGGUAGGAGAGCCCUACAG